Molecule: ribosomal RNA, 2736 nt
Filed under: Staphylococcus aureus VET1025S
Lineage: Bacteria; Bacillati; Bacillota; Bacilli; Caryophanales; Staphylococcaceae
Description: bacterial LSU rRNA
Rfam family: Bacterial large subunit ribosomal RNA
Source: RNAcentral
UUAAGUUAUUAAGGGCGCACGGUGGAUGCCUUGGCACUAGAAGCCGAUGAAGGACGUUACUAACGACGAUAUGCUUUGGGGAGCUGUAAGUAAGCUUUGAUCCAGAGAUUUCCGAAUGGGGAAACCCAGCAUGAGUUAUGUCAUGUUAUCGAUAUGUGAAUACAUAGCAUAUCAGAAGGCACACCCGGAGAACUGAAACAUCUUAGUACCCGGAGGAAGAGAAAGAAAAUUCGAUUCCCUUAGUAGCGGCGAGCGAAACGGGAAGAGCCCAAACCAACAAGCUUGCUUGUUGGGGUUGUAGGACACUCUAUACGGAGUUACAAAGGACGACAUUAGACGAAUCAUCUGGAAAGAUGAAUCAAAGAAGGUAAUAAUCCUGUAGUCGAAAAUGUUGUCUCUCUUGAGUGGAUCCUGAGUACGACGGAGCACGUGAAAUUCCGUCGGAAUCUGGGAGGACCAUCUCCUAAGGCUAAAUACUCUCUAGUGACCGAUAGUGAACCAGUACCGUGAGGGAAAGGUGAAAAGCACCCCGGAAGGGGAGUGAAAUAGAACCUGAAACCGUGUGCUUACAAGUAGUCAGAGCCCGUUAAUGGGUGAUGGCGUGCCUUUUGUAGAAUGAACCGGCGAGUUACGAUUUGAUGCAAGGUUAAGCAGUAAAUGUGGAGCCGUAGCGAAAGCGAGUCUGAAUAGGGCGUUUAGUAUUUGGUCGUAGACCCGAAACCAGGUGAUCUACCCUUGGUCAGGUUGAAGUUCAGGUAACACUGAAUGGAGGACCGAACCGACUUACGUUGAAAAGUGAGCGGAUGAACUGAGGGUAGCGGAGAAAUUCCAAUCGAACCUGGAGAUAGCUGGUUCUCUCCGAAAUAGCUUUAGGGCUAGCCUCAAGUGAUGAUUAUUGGAGGUAGAGCACUGUUUGGACGAGGGGCCCCUCUCGGGUUACCGAAUUCAGACAAACUCCGAAUGCCAAUUAAUUUAACUUGGGAGUCAGAACAUGGGUGAUAAGGUCCGUGUUCGAAAGGGAAACAGCCCAGACCACCAGCUAAGGUCCCAAAAUAUAUGUUAAGUGGAAAAGGAUGUGGCGUUGCCCAGACAACUAGGAUGUUGGCUUAGAAGCAGCCAUCAUUUAAAGAGUGCGUAAUAGCUCACUAGUCGAGUGACACUGCGCCGAAAAUGUACCGGGGCUAAACAUAUUACCGAAGCUGUGGAUUGUCCUUUGGACAAUGGUAGGAGAGCGUUCUAAGGGCGUUGAAGCAUGAUCGUAAGGACAUGUGGAGCGCUUAGAAGUGAGAAUGCCGGUGUGAGUAGCGAAAGACGGGUGAGAAUCCCGUCCACCGAUUGACUAAGGUUUCCAGAGGAAGGCUCGUCCGCUCUGGGUUAGUCGGGUCCUAAGCUGAGGCCGACAGGCGUAGGCGAUGGAUAACAGGUUGAUAUUCCUGUACCACCUAUAAUCGUUUUAAUCGAUGGGGGGACGCAGUAGGAUAGGCGAAGCGUGCGAUUGGAUUGCACGUCUAAGCAGUAAGGCUGAGUAUUAGGCAAAUCCGGUACUCGUUAAGGCUGAGCUGUGAUGGGGAGAAGACAUUGAGUCUUCGAGUCGUUGAUUUCACACUGCCGAGAAAAGCCUCUAGAUAGAAAAUAGGUGCCCGUACCGCAAACCGACACAGGUAGUCAAGAUGAGAAUUCUAAGGUGAGCGAGCGAACUCUCGUUAAGGAACUCGGCAAAAUGACCCCGUAACUUCGGGAGAAGGGGUGCUCUUUAGGGUUAACGCCCAGAAGAGCCGCAGUGAAUAGGCCCAAGCGACUGUUUAUCAAAAACACAGGUCUCUGCUAAACCGUAAGGUGAUGUAUAGGGGCUGACGCCUGCCCGGUGCUGGAAGGUUAAGAGGAGUGGUUAGCUUCUGCGAAGCUACGAAUCGAAGCCCCAGUAAACGGCGGCCGUAACUAUAACGGUCCUAAGGUAGCGAAAUUCCUUGUCGGGUAAGUUCCGACCCGCACGAAAGGCGUAACGAUUUGGGCACUGUCUCAACGAGAGACUCGGUGAAAUCAUAGUACCUGUGAAGAUGCAGGUUACCCGCGACAGGACGGAAAGACCCCGUGGAGCUUUACUGUAGCCUGAUAUUGAAAUUCGGCACAGCUUGUACAGGAUAGGUAGGAGCCUUUGAAACGUGAGCGCUAGCUUACGUGGAGGCGCUGGUGGGAUACUACCCUAGCUGUGUUGGCUUUCUAACCCGCACCACUUAUCGUGGUGGGAGACAGUGUCAGGCGGGCAGUUUGACUGGGGCGGUCGCCUCCUAAAAGGUAACGGAGGCGCUCAAAGGUUCCCUCAGAAUGGUUGGAAAUCAUUCAUAGAGUGUAAAGGCAUAAGGGAGCUUGACUGCGAGACCUACAAGUCGAGCAGGGUCGAAAGACGGACUUAGUGAUCCGGUGGUUCCGCAUGGAAGGGCCAUCGCUCAACGGAUAAAAGCUACCCCGGGGAUAACAGGCUUAUCUCCCCCAAGAGUUCACAUCGACGGGGAGGUUUGGCACCUCGAUGUCGGCUCAUCGCAUCCUGGGGCUGUAGUCGGUCCCAAGGGUUGGGCUGUUCGCCCAUUAAAGCGGUACGCGAGCUGGGUUCAGAACGUCGUGAGACAGUUCGGUCCCUAUCCGUCGUGGGCGUAGGAAAUUUGAGAGGAGCUGUCCUUAGUACGAGAGGACCGGGAUGGACAUACCUCUGGUGUACCAGUUGUCGUGCCAACGGCA